Podarcis lilfordi (Lilford's wall lizard) is the source of this 71-nucleotide non-coding RNA. The record is from the annotation of a GenBank genome assembly. NCBI's taxonomy places the organism in Eukaryota, Metazoa, Chordata, Lepidosauria, Squamata, Lacertidae.
GGGUCAUAGCUUAGUGGUGGAACAUAUGCUUUGCAUGCAGAAGGUUCCAGGUUCAAACCCCAGCAUAUCCA